UACCAGUUGGAAACGACUGUUAAUACCGCAUAAUAUCUGCGGAUUAAAGGUGGCCUUUGCGCUACCGCAGAUGGAUGAGCCUGCGUUGGAUUAGCUAGUUGGUGGGGUAAGGGCCUACCAAGGCUACGAUCCAUAGCUGAUUUGAGAGGAUGAUCAGCCACAUUGGGACUGAGACACGGCCCAAACUCCUACGGGAGGCAGCAGUGGGGAAUAUUGGACAAUGGGGGAAACCCUGAUCCAGCAAUGCCAUGUGUGUGAAGAAGGCUCUAGGGUUGUAAAGCACUUUAGUUGGGGAGGAAAGCCUGUGAGUUAAUAGCUUGCAGGAAGGACGUUGCCCAAAGAAUAAGGACCGGCUAACUCCGUGCCAGCAGCCGCGGUAAUACGGGGGGUCCGAGCGUUAAUCGGAAUUACUGGGCGUAAAGGGUCUGUAGGUGGUCUGUUAAGUCAGAUGUGAAAGCCCAGGGCUCAACCUUGGAACUGCAUUUGAUACUGACAAACUAGAGUAUGGUAGAGGAAUAGGGAACUUCUGGUGUAGCGGUGAAAUGCGUAGAGAUCAGAAGGAACACCAAUGGCGAAGGCAACAUUCUGGACCAAUACUGACACUGAGGGACGAAAGCGUGGGGAUCAAACAGGAUUAGAUACCCUGGUAGUCCACGCUGUAAACGAUGAGUACUAGCUGUUGGAUUCGGUGUAAAGGAUCUAGUGGCGCAGCUAACGCGUUAAGUACUCCGCCUGGGGACUACGGCCGCAAGGCUAAAACUCAAAGGAAUUGACGGGGACCCGCACAAGCGGUGGAGCAUGUGGUUUAAUUCGAUGCAACGCGAAGAACCUUACCUGGUCUUGACAUCCUGCGAACUUUCUAGAGGUAGAUUGGUGCCUUCGGGAACGCAGUGACAGGUGCUGCACGGCUGUCGUCAGCUCGUGUUGUGAAAUGUUGGGUUAAGUCCCGCAACGAGCGCAACCCCUAUUGAUAGUUACCAUCAUUAAGUUGGGUACUCUAUUGAGACUGCCGCUGACAAGGCGGAGGAAGGUGGGGACGACGUCAAGUCAUCAUGGCCCUUACGACCAGGGCUACACACGUGCUACAAUGGGUAUUACAGAGGGCUGCGAAGGUGCGAGCUGGAGCGAAACUCAGAAAGG
RNAcentral lists this ribosomal RNA (1140 nucleotides) under uncultured Francisella sp. RNAcentral describes it as "bacterial SSU rRNA". It matches the Rfam family "Bacterial small subunit ribosomal RNA", at positions 144 to 1282 of the family's 1533-position model. The record is from RNAcentral. Lineage: Bacteria; Pseudomonadati; Pseudomonadota; Gammaproteobacteria; Thiotrichales; Francisellaceae.